RNAcentral lists this long non-coding RNA (666 nucleotides) under Fukomys damarensis (Damara mole-rat). RNAcentral's name for it is "lncRNA (ENSFDAG00000029394.1)". The record is from RNAcentral. Lineage: Eukaryota; Metazoa; Chordata; Mammalia; Rodentia; Bathyergidae.
CGAAGCGUUCACCUGCAUUUAUUAAGUAGUGCAAAAUCACUCUCCUUCACCGCAGGGGCAUGAUCUAACGGAAAGUCGGCAAGGAGUAUUCAUUAGCCUGGCUUGCGGUGUCCCGGACUAGACACCUCCAGCUCCCACCUGGCCGAGUGAAAGUGGCAUGUGGCAGUCUGACGGGACGGGCUGACCUCAGCCACAGGCGGCGGCGGUGAUGGGGCUCCAGGGUACCGGGGAUCCCGUCGGUGGCGCGUCAAGCCCUAGUGAGGAAGGGCCUCACACAAGCCAUGCUGCCUUCGGGAGUCCUCCUCUGCCCGCUCAGCCGACACUGUCUAAGGAGGAGGACCCGGGGAGCCAGAGUGACGCCUCACACCCCUACACCAGGGGUCUUACCUCUGCUGCGUCAUCCAGGGCUCGUGCCACAGUACCAAGAGGCACAAACAAAGCCCAGACACAGGAAAUCAGACGUGAAUGGAGCAGACCAGAGCCAUCUUUUACAGCACUCUGUGCAGCUGGAGGAAAGAGGGAGCCCACCACCUCCUCCCUGGGUCCGCCCCUCAGGCAAACCUGGACGCUUAUCUGUGGGCUUCAUAGGCAUCUCUGCACAUUUCCAUCACGUUCCCUAACACUGACCAUCACUUUCUUGGCUGAGAAGUUCCACGUAUCCAGCAU